AUCUUAGUAACAGGACGAAGAGAAAAUAACCCAAUGAUUCCGAGAGUAGCGGCGAGCGAAAUUGGAAGAGCCUAAAUUGUGUGUACGUGAUAGCCUGCAAGCGUUGUGCACAUGAGGUUGUGGGACUUGCAUCAUAUUUUGCAGAAUAUGGAUUGAGUUAGAAAAUUAUUUAUUAGUUAAAGUCAACUGGGAAGUUGCGCCAUAGAGAGUGAUAGCCUCGUAAACGACAAUAAAUAAUCUCAAGUAAGUAUCCCGAGUAAGGCGGGGCACGUGAAACCCUGUCUGAAUCCACCGGGACCAUCCGGUAAGGCUAAAUACUAGUCAGUGACCGAUAGUGAACGAGUACAGUGAUGGAAAGGCGAAAAGAACAGUGAGAAGCUGAGUGAAAUAGACCCUGAAACCGUUAGCUUACAACCAGUCAGAGCACAAUUAAUUGUGUGAUGGCGUGCCUGUUGAAGAAUGAGCCGGCGAGUUAUUUUUUGUUGCGAGGUUAAGGAGAUCAUAUCCGGAGCCACAGGGAAACCGAGUCUGAAUAGGGCGUUAAGUAACAGGAAAUAGACCCGAACCUUGGUGAUCUAACCUUGACCAGGAUGAAGCGUGGGUAACACUACGUGGAGGUCCGAACCAACCGAUGUUGAAAAAUCGGUGGAUGAGUUGAGGUUAGGGGUGAAAUGCCAAUCGAACCAAGAGCUAGCUGGUUCUCCCCGAAAUGCGUUUAGGCACAGCGUUGGAUUUAUCUUGCAGGAGGUAGAGCACUGGUUUUGUGCGGGCGUCGAAAUGAUGUACCAAACAAUGUCAAACUCCGAAUACCUGUAAUGUCAUUAUCCAGCAGUGAGGCUAUGAGUGAUAAGAUCCAUGGCCAAGAGGGAAACAGCCCAGAACGCCAGUUAAGGUCCCUAAUAUAUGCUAAGUGGUUAAGGAGGUAGAGUUACUGAGACAACCAGGAGGUUGGCUUAGAAGCAGCCAUCCCUUGAAAGAGUGCGUAAUAGCUCACUGGUCAAGUGACUCCGCGCCGAAAAUACACCGGGACUAAAGCAUAUAACCGAAGCUGCGUCAUAUAGUUUACUAUAUGGGUAGGGGAGCGUACUGUAGUAAGACGAAGCUAGAGUGAAAACACUAGUGGAUGAGGCAGUAGUGAGAAUGUCGGCAUAAGUAGCGAAAACAUUGGUGAGAAUCCAAUGCACCGAAAACCUAAGGUUUCCCACGGCAGGCUCGUCCGCGUGGGGUUAGUCGGAUCCUAAGCUCAGGCCAAACGGCGUAGGCGAUGGACAAUAGGUUGAUAUUCCUAUACUAUCUGAUAAUCGUUAUCAGAAGCGGAGGGACGCAAGAGGAUAAGCACGCAGUCGACUGGAAGAGACUGUAUAAGCGUGUAGCUAGGUUUGACAGGAAAAUCCGUCAAAUCGUUAAUGUGAGGCGUGAUGUGGAGAGUCUACGGACUCGAAGGUGUUGACUCCAAAUUGCCAAGAAAAUCUUCGCUCUCGAGAUUAUUGGGUAUCCGUACCGUAAACCGCCACAGGUAGGUUGGUAGAAAAUACUAAGGUGCGCGAGACAACUCUCGCUAAGGAACUCGGCAAAAUCACCUCGUAACUUCGGGAGAAGAGGUACCCUGGUAGCGUGAAGCGAUUUACUCGUGAAGCGUGAUAGGGUCGCAGUGAAUAGGCCCAAGCGACUGUUUACCAAAAACACAGGUCUCUGCUAAGUCGAUCAAGACGAUGUAUAGGGGCUGACGCCUGCCCGGUGUCGGAAGGUUACGCGGAAAUGUUAGAAGCAAUUCAAAGCAUCGAAGCUAAGCCCCGAUGAACGGCGGCCGUAACUAUAACGGUCCUAAGGUAGCGAAAUUCCUUGUCAGGUAAGUUCUGACCCGCACGAAUGGCGUAACGAUUUGGGCGCUGUCUCGGCGAGAGGCUCGGCGAAAUUGGAUUAUCCGUGAAGAUACGGAUUACGUGUACCAGGACAGAAAGACCCUAUUGAGCUUUACUGUAGCUUGAAAUUGAAUUCGGGUUCUCAUUGCGCAGUAUAGGUGGGAGACUAUGAAGCUUGAACUUUGGUUUAAGUGGAGUCAUCGUUGAGAUACCAUCCUUGUGAAAAUUUGGAAUUCUAACCUUGAUCCCUCAAAGAACAGGGCAAGGGACAGUUUCUGGUA
This 2143-nucleotide ribosomal RNA is filed under the name human gut metagenome. RNAcentral describes it as "bacterial LSU rRNA". It matches the Rfam family "Bacterial large subunit ribosomal RNA", at positions 200 to 2263 of the family's 2925-position model. The record is from RNAcentral.